AGGGUUCGAUCCUGGCUCAGGACGAACGCUGGCGGUGCGCCUUAUGCAUGCAAGUCGAGCGAAGCUUUUUGGUAGUUUACUACUAGAAAUGACUGAGCGGCGAACGGGUGAGUAACGCGUGAGCAAUCUACCUUAGUUACUGGGAUAGCCCGAGGAAACUCGGAUUAAUACCAGAUAUUCUUAUUUUUUCACAUGAAGUUUUAAGGAAAGGUCAGCCGAACUAAGAUGAGCUCGCGUUCUAUCAGCUAGUUGGUGGGGUAAAAGCCUACCAAGGCUACGACGGAUAGCUGGUCUGAGAGGACGAUCAGCCACACUGGGACUGAGACACGGCCCAGACUCCUACGGGAGGCUGCAGCAGGGAAUAUUGUGCAAUGAGCGAAAGCUUGACACAGCGACACCGCGUGUGGGAUGACGGUUCUAGGAUUGUAAACCACUUUCAGGAGGGAAGAAAAUGACGGUACCUCCACAAGAAGACCCGGCCAACUAUGUGCCAGCCGCCGCGGUAAUAC
RNAcentral lists this ribosomal RNA (509 nucleotides) under uncultured bacterium. RNAcentral describes it as "bacterial SSU rRNA". It matches the Rfam family "Bacterial small subunit ribosomal RNA", at positions 8 to 526 of the family's 1533-position model. The record is from RNAcentral.